GGACCCGCACAAGUAGUGGAGCAUGUGGUUUAAUUCGAAGAUACGCGCAGAACCUUACCAACACUUGACAUGUUCGUCGCGACUUUAAGAGAUUAAAGUUUUCGGUUCGGCCGGACGAAACACAGGUGCUGCAUGGCUGUCGUCAGCUCGUGUCGUGAGAUGUUGGUUAAGUCCCGCAACGAGCGCAACCCUCACUUUUAGUUGCCAUCAUUUAGUUGGGCACUCUGAAAGAACUGCCAGUGAUAAGCUGGAGGAAGGUGGGGAUGACGUCAAGUCCUCAUGGCCCUUACGUGUUGGGCUACACACGUGCUACAAUGGUAUUUACAACAGGAAGCGAGACUGCGAAGUUAAG
This 352-nucleotide ribosomal RNA is filed under the name uncultured bacterium. RNAcentral's name for it is "bacterial SSU rRNA". It matches the Rfam family "Bacterial small subunit ribosomal RNA", at positions 917 to 1267 of the family's 1533-position model. The record is from RNAcentral.